This 66-nucleotide transfer RNA is filed under the name Candidatus Syntrophonatronum acetioxidans. RNAcentral describes it as "tRNA-Val". It matches the Rfam family "tRNA". Rfam says of the family: Transfer RNA (tRNA) molecules are approximately 80 nucleotides in length. Lineage: Bacteria; Bacillati; Bacillota; Clostridia; Eubacteriales; Syntrophomonadaceae. RNAcentral also lists the same sequence under 1 other name. The record is from RNAcentral.
CGGAUAGCUCAGCUGGGAGAGCACCUGCCUUACAAGCAGGGGGUCACAGGUUCGAGCCCUGUUUCG